CUUUUUGGGAGAGUUACCCCGGGAACUGGGGCUAAUAACUGAUAGGCGAGGGUACCUGGAAUGGUUUCUCGCCUAAAGGACGUUAGAACAUGCUCUUAACGUUGCCCAAGGAUGGGACUGCGGCCGAUCAGGUUGUUGGUAGGGUAAUGGCCUACCAAGCCUAUUACCGGUACGGGCCCUGUGAGGGGUGGCCCGGAGAUGGGAACUGAGAAAAGGUCCCAGGCCCUACGGGGCGCAGCAGGCGCGAAAACUCCACAAUGUACGAAAGUGUGAUGGGGUUAUCCCGAGUGCCGUCCGAUGAGGAUGGCUUUUGCCCGGUUUAAGGAGCCGGGUGAAUAAGAGGGGGGCAAGACUGGUGUCAGCCGCCGCGGUAAUACCAGCCCCUCGAGUGGUAGGGACGAUUAUUUGGCCUAAAGCGUUCGUAGCCUGCCCAGCAAGUCCUUUGUGAAAUCCGGCGAUCCAAUCGUCGGGCGUGCAUAGGAUACUGUUGGGCUUGGGGACGGGAGAAGUCGAUGGUACUCUAGGUGUAGGGGUGAAAUCCUAUAAUCCCUAGAGGACCACCAGUGGCGAAGGCGGUCGACUAGAACGUGCCCGACGGUGAGGGACGAAAGCUGGGGGAGCGAACCGGAUUAGAUACCCGGGUAGUCCCAGCUGUAAACGAUGCAGGCUAGGUGUUGGGUCAGCCACGAGCUGCCCCAGUGCCGCAGGGAAGCUAUUAAGCCUGCCGUCUGGGAAGUACGGUCGCAAGGCUGAAACUUAAAGGAAUUGGCGGGGGAGCAC
This 780-nucleotide ribosomal RNA is filed under the name uncultured archaeon. Its description in RNAcentral is "bacterial SSU rRNA". It matches the Rfam family "Archaeal small subunit ribosomal RNA", at positions 111 to 879 of the family's 1478-position model. The record is from RNAcentral.